This 237-nucleotide ribosomal RNA is filed under the name uncultured bacterium. RNAcentral describes it as "partial 16S ribosomal RNA". It matches the Rfam family "Bacterial small subunit ribosomal RNA", at positions 100 to 334 of the family's 1533-position model. The record is from RNAcentral.
CCGGCACGGGUGAGUAACACGUAUCCAACCUGCCGUCUACUCUUGGACAGCCUUCUGAAAGGAAGAUUAAUACAAGAUGGCAUCAUGAGUCCGCAUGUUCACAUGAUUAAAGGUGUUCCGGUAGACGAUGGGGAUGCGUUCCAUUAGAUAGUAGGCGGGGUAACGGCCCACCUAGUCAACGAUGGAUAGGGGUUCUGAGAGGAAGGUCCCCCACAUUGGAACUGAGACACGGUCCAA